Thalassophryne amazonica is the source of this 240-nucleotide long non-coding RNA. RefSeq lists it as uncharacterized. The transcript is spliced from 3 exons. The record is from RefSeq and is a predicted model, not a curated record. Lineage: Eukaryota; Metazoa; Chordata; Actinopteri; Batrachoidiformes; Batrachoididae.
CUGUUGAAGCGGAAAUCUGUUGGCAUUUGCUGGAACCUGAGACACAGCAAACAGGAGGACUUUUGUCUUUGCUCUUGGAAUGGAAACCUUGGAUCAAUACCCUUCAACCGUAUGCCGCUCCUCCUGACCCUUUUCAUGUCACCCUAAAUUAUACACGACAACCUGAUUUCGUGUGUGAUGAUGCUUUUGUUGAGCAGGCUGAGGGAGUGCAUUGGCACAUCACUUCCCCAGGUUUGCUCA